Molecule: long non-coding RNA, 1128 nt
Filed under: Chloebia gouldiae (Gouldian finch)
Lineage: Eukaryota; Metazoa; Chordata; Aves; Passeriformes; Passeridae
Description: Erythrura gouldiae (Gouldian finch) lncRNA (ENSEGOG00005008933.1)
Source: RNAcentral
AUGCCCCAAGGAGGAACCAUGGCCCAGAUCCUACUGGCACAACCAAGUGAGAUGCAGAGGCUGGGGGCAGCUGUGGAGAGAAAGAGAUCCCCCAAAACCCCACACGACAGGGGCCACACUCCCAGUAAUGGGUUAAUUCAGGCCUUGCCACCUGCACCUCUCUUGAUUGACACCUGCCAAUCACCCCGACAGCAGCAUGGGCUCAGCACAGUCUGUCCCAGUACCCUGGGUGAUGCCCACCUUGGGGGGUGGCUGUGGUCCCCCAGGCAGGGGACAAGGCCACUGUCAUCCUGCUGCUGCAGCAGGCACUCCAUCCAGUGGUGGCAUGUCCCCAGGCUGGGCCACGCAGCCACCAGCCACAGUGGCCAAACACUCGAGCAGGGAAGGGCCAAGCUACGCCGGGGGACCUUGAGGGGGUCCCCAGUGCUGACACUGGCUCCCACACAGGGAGCUGUGCAGAGGGACCAUGUGUCUACCCUCAGCACCUCAUCCCUGCCCUCAGCCCCCAGAUCCCUGGUGCUCCCUUGUCCCCUCCUCGGGGCUUCCCAAAGGCCACGGCCCCCCAGCCCCUGCUCCCAUCUCUUUCCAUGGCAGAGUCGCAGCUUUGCCCUUUGCUGGGGUCAUGCCACAGGGAGGGGCUCACAACACAAAACCAGUGUCACCCCCACACCCCUCCCUGGAUGGCCCCAGCAGCACCCAGAGGCACUCCCAGCUCUCGGUGCUGCAGGGACAGGGCUGGGCACAAGCAGCCACAUCCCUGCUGGCUUCACCAGGCGGCAGAAGGAUGCACCCAGUGUCCCCCUGCACACCCAGGCCACGGGGCUGCACCCAGGGCGUCACCCAACAGGGACUCGCCACGUUCGGGCUUGUUCAGCGCCACCCAGUCACCCAGUGACUGUGCCUGCAGGGCCAAAGGGAGCAGGGACACAGGGGAUGGCAUGGCCCCAGCCUCCGGGGGAGAGGGGAGACACCCUGAUGCUUUGCCUCCCCCCGGUUUUGUUGGUCCUACAUAAGGACAGGCAGAGCAGCACACGGGGAGGAUGCUGGCGCACACAAAAGCAGCCAGAGCUCGCUGCACUGCUCGGAGAGCUGCGGCGGGCAGAGGUACGGGCUGAGGGAGACACAUGA